RNAcentral lists this transfer RNA (76 nucleotides) under Caudoviricetes sp. RNAcentral describes it as "tRNA-Gln". It matches the Rfam family "tRNA". From Rfam's summary of the family: Transfer RNA (tRNA) molecules are approximately 80 nucleotides in length. Lineage: Duplodnaviria; Heunggongvirae; Uroviricota; Caudoviricetes. The record is from RNAcentral.
AACGGUGUCGCCAAGUGGCAAGGCACGAGACUUUGACUCUCGCAUUUCAAUGGUUCAAAUCCAUUCACCGUUGCCA